RNAcentral lists this ribosomal RNA (884 nucleotides) under uncultured Planctomycetota bacterium. Its description in RNAcentral is "bacterial SSU rRNA". It matches the Rfam family "Bacterial small subunit ribosomal RNA", at positions 546 to 1422 of the family's 1533-position model. The record is from RNAcentral. Lineage: Bacteria; Pseudomonadati; Planctomycetota.
CGGAAUUAUUGGGCGUAAAGAGCACGUAGGCGGCCUUGCAAGUCAGUUGUGAAAGCCUUCCGCUUAACGGAAGAACGGCAUCUGAUACUACAGGGCUUGAGUACGGGGGGGGAGAGUGGAACUUCUGGUGGAGCGGUGAAAUGCGUAGAUAUCAGAAGGAACGCCGGCGGCGAAAGCGACUCUCUGGUCCGAAACUGACGCUGAGUGUGCGAAAGCUAGGGGAGCAAACGGGAUUAGAUACCCCGGUAGUCCUAGCCGUAAACGAUGGGCACUAAGUAGAGGGGUUUUGAUUAUUUCUCUGCCGGAGCUAACGCAUUAAGUGCCCCGCCUGGGGAGUACGGCCGCAAGGCUAAAACUCAAAAGAAUUGACGGGGGCUCGCACAAGCGGUGGAGCAUGUGGCUUAAUUCGAUGCAACGCGAAGAACCUUACCGGGGCUUGACAUGGUAGAAGUAGAAUCCUGAAAGGGUGACGAUCGGUAUCCAGUCCGAAGCUAUCACAGGUGUUGCAUGGCUGUCGUCAGCUCGUGUCGUGAGACGUUGGGUUAAGUCCCCUAACGAGCGAAACCCUUGUCUUUAGUUGCUAACGGGUAAUGCUGAGCACUUUAGAGAGACUGCCGUCGUUAAGACGGAGGAAGGUGGGGACGACGUCAAGUCAUCAUGGCCCUUAUGUCCCGGGCUGCACACGUGCUACAAUGGUCGGUACAAAGGGAUGCUAAGUCGCGAGAUGGUGCGAAACCUAUAAAGCCGAUCUCAGUUCAGAUUGGAGGCUGAAACUCGCCUCCAUGAAGUUGGAAUCGCUAGUAAUCGCGGAUCAGCUACGCCGCCGUGAUUAUGUUCCCGAGCCUUGUACACACCGCCCGUCAGCCACCCAGCAGAUGCACCCA